GCAGUGGUGGCUCAGUGGUAGAAUUCUUGUCUUCCAUGCGGGAGACCGGGGUUCUAGUCCCAGCCAAUGCA
RNAcentral lists this transfer RNA (71 nucleotides) under Loxodonta africana (African savanna elephant). It matches the Rfam family "tRNA". From Rfam's summary of the family: Transfer RNA (tRNA) molecules are approximately 80 nucleotides in length. Their secondary structure includes four short double-helical elements and three loops (D, anti-codon, and T loops). Further hydrogen bonds mediate the characteristic L-shaped molecular structure. tRNAs have two regions of fundamental functional importance: the anti-codon, which is responsible for specific mRNA codon recognition, and the 3' end, to which the tRNAs corresponding amino acid is attached (by aminoacyl-tRNA synthetases). tRNAs cope with the degeneracy of the genetic code in two manners: having more than one tRNA (with a specific anti-codon) for a particular amino acid; and 'wobble' base-pairing, i.e. permitting non-standard base-pairing at the 3rd anti-codon position. The record is from Rfam by way of RNAcentral. Lineage: Eukaryota; Metazoa; Chordata; Mammalia; Proboscidea; Elephantidae.